AUUGAACGCUGGCGGCAUGAUUUACACAUGCAAGUCGAACGGUAACAGGCCGCCAGGUGCUGACGAGUGGCGAACGGGUGAGUAAUGCAUCGGAACGUGCCCAGUCGUGGGGGAUAACUACUCGAAAGAGUAGCUAAUACCGCAUACGAUCUAUGGAUGAAAGCGGGGGACCGUAAGGCCUCGCGCGAUUGGAGCGGCCGAUGUCAGAUUAGGUAGUUGGUGGGGUAAAGGCUCACCAAGCCAACGAUCUGUAGCUGGUCUGAGAGGACGACCAGCCACACUGGGACUGAGACACGGCCCAGACUCCUACGGGAGGCAGCAGUGGGGAAUUUUGGACAAUGGGCGCAAGCCUGAUCCAGCAAUGCCGCGUGCAGGAAGAAGGCCUUCGGGUUGUAAACUGCUUUUGUACGGAACGAAACGGCUCUGGUUAAUACCCGGGGAUAAUGACGGUACCGUAAGAAUAAGCACCGGCUAACUACGUG
RNAcentral lists this ribosomal RNA (482 nucleotides) under uncultured bacterium. Its description in RNAcentral is "partial 16S ribosomal RNA". It matches the Rfam family "Bacterial small subunit ribosomal RNA", at positions 30 to 507 of the family's 1533-position model. The record is from RNAcentral.